This is a long non-coding RNA of Anarrhichthys ocellatus (wolf-eel), 2150 nucleotides long. RefSeq lists it as uncharacterized. Lineage: Eukaryota; Metazoa; Chordata; Actinopteri; Perciformes; Anarhichadidae. The transcript has 3 exons. The record is from RefSeq and is a predicted model, not a curated record.
CAAACGCACCACACUUCCCCCAUCUCUCCAUCCGGCACGGCGGCGGCGGCGGAGCGCAGCAGCGGAGCCGGACCGACAGCAGCCAGAUGGGAUGACGACGAGGACGCACGCAGCACGCGGCGCCGACUGACCUGGAUAUCAACAGGUCGACGUGGAGUUCUUUAGCGAGAGGCGAAGCGCUCCCUCGUCCACCUGCACACCGUGAGUAACUGUCGGCACGUCGGCCUUCUGUCGUCUCCUUGUUUUCUUGUGUCUCCGCGCACUUCAUCGUGUUGUUUCUCUGGUUUAUUUUUAAUUGUUAUGUUAUUCAUUUGAUUUGCCUGAAUGUUAGACCUUUUUUCGCACGUUCCUCCAUGUGUGAAGUCCGUUACGAGUCUGCAUGCGGGUGUGAAAGCGCACGUGCUCCGAGGUGAUCAUCUCCCGCCUCGUCACGUGCACGACUUCAAUUGGUUUGUGUGAUUGUGCGUUCUUUGUUUGAUGCUUCCAGCAGUGCGCGUGUGUGUGCAGCGUACUUUUUCAAGCAUGAUGUGUGUUUGCUAAAUUCGUGCGUCCUUGUGUUUCUCUGCAUGCAUGUGUGUGUGUGUGUGUUUAUAAUCCAAGGCCAUUCAAUAGCACCACAUGGAUCUAUCCCAUAUCCUGGUCGCCAUGGUUACCGGGGCCACUUAUCACAGAGGGUCCUGGCAGAUCAAACAGGUGUGCAUCCUGACGAUGUCUCUCCUCGACUGUUGCUAGGAACCUUUGUUGCACACAAUACACAGGUGUUUGUGGCCGCCAGUGAAAAACCAUUGUCUUAAUGUCCCAGUCUGAACUGAUGUGUGUGUGUGUGUGUACAUGUUGUCCUCGUGGGAGACAGUGUGAUUUAAUUUCUUCUGAAAGAGGAUGUUCUUUGUCAAAAUAAGGGUGGGAAAAAAAGAGUUCAUUUUGUGGGUCAUCACUUGCUACUUUAGACCUGGAGCUGCGGUAGAGUUCAUAAUGGAUUAGGGGUUAAAGUUUAACGUUUUCUCUUUAACAUCAAAGGGGCACUUCAGCAAUUUAGUACCGAAGUUCCAUAAUGUUGGGGGACUUGCAUGAGACAGAUUUAAAAAAUAAUUCAAUGCAUCAGAGGCCGAGGCAUCCUAAUUUUUAGUUCCAAAUAUGAGUGAAGCUUCAAAAAAGUCACAUCCUUCAAUUGCCAGAAUGCAACUCAAUAGCAGAUUACAUUAGACCUGCCCUACUUAGAUACCUCAUCUCUCCGUCAUCGCUACCUCUAUAGCCACUGAAGACAUUCUGCAACUCAAAGCCCCUUCGAAUAUUCAUUGCUAAAUGUGCGAAGUUCAAUUUCAGGGAGAAAACAUCCUUAAAAGAGGUUAACCCUCAAAAACUCUGUUUAACUUCUUCAUCAGUGCGAAACAAUCACUGAGUGUGAUUUGAUCAGAUUUGAUUCUGGAAACAGCAGCAUUGCAACCCCAUAACUGUCACCACCGAGUCAGAUUUAGCUAAAUCUUGUUUGGUGCGUAGAAAUGCACGACAUCGUCUUUUCUUUUUUUCCAGCCGAGCUCCUUGGCUCCAAACUCGAUCUAACUUUUGUGGUCCUGUAAGACGUCAGAAACUCAUUGUAGGUUUUCAGAGCGUUGAACAGUUACUGUUAUUUAUUUACUUUAGGACUGAGACAUGAGGUAAAUGGUUGGCCACAACUUUAAAUUUAAAUUGUCAAAAUUGAGACGCUGGAGAUUCAGUCCAAUGACUCAGGAAGUAUAAAAUCCAAAUUUAGGAGUGACGUUCAAACUGUCUCCUGAACAGCAAUAAGCUUUUGGUCCAGUGAAGGACGGAAUCACCUACGAAGAGCUUCAGCCCCCCCCCCUCCCCCCCCCCAAGAAGAUUUGGGUGUAGGGUCAGCGAAAUUAUGUAGUAAACAGGAAGAGUGAAGGGGGGGUGGAGAAAAGGGUGUGGAAUGAAAUUAAAUGAUCCUUGAUACCCGGCCAGAGAGCUAGAAAUCAAAUUGCAAACCUGUGAGGGCUUUUAUUUUAUUUUUCUCGACUUGCACUCUCCACUCCACUCCUCCCUCCCGGCCUCCACACAAAAGCGCCUGCCCUCCUAUUCACCCUCCUGUCCGUCUCUCCAUCCUCCAGCUCCCGCUUUAAACCCGCGAGGCAUCACACUGUCCUUAAAGU